UACGGGGGGGGCAAGCGUUGUUCGGAAUUACUGGGCGUAAAGGGCUCGUAGGCGGCCAACUAAGUCGGAUGUGAAAUCCCCAGGCUUAACCUGGGAACUGCAUCCGAUACUGGAUGGCUUGAAUCCGGGAGAGGGAUGCAGAAUUCCAGGUGCAGCGGUGAAAUGCGUAGAUAUCUGGAGGAAUACCGGUGGCGAAGGCGGCAUCCUGGACCGGCACUGACGCUGAGGCACGAAAGCGUGGGGAGCAAACAGG
This 253-nucleotide ribosomal RNA is filed under the name uncultured bacterium. RNAcentral describes it as "partial 16S ribosomal RNA". It matches the Rfam family "Bacterial small subunit ribosomal RNA", at positions 524 to 776 of the family's 1533-position model. The record is from RNAcentral.